UACGGGAGGCAGCAGUCGAGAAUCAUUCGCAAUGGACGCAAGUCUGACGGUGCGACGCCGCGUGGAGGAUGAAGGCCUUAGGGUCGUAAACUCCUGUCAUCAGGGAGUAAGGCUUUAUAUAGUAACUGAUAUAAGGAUUGAUAGUACCUGAAGAGGAAGGGACGGCUAACUUCGUGCCAGCAGCCGCGGUAAU
RNAcentral lists this ribosomal RNA (193 nucleotides) under uncultured bacterium. RNAcentral describes it as "partial 16S ribosomal RNA". It matches the Rfam family "Bacterial small subunit ribosomal RNA", at positions 340 to 524 of the family's 1533-position model. The record is from RNAcentral.